This is a non-coding RNA of Podarcis lilfordi (Lilford's wall lizard), 73 nucleotides long. The record is from the annotation of a GenBank genome assembly. Lineage: Eukaryota; Metazoa; Chordata; Lepidosauria; Squamata; Lacertidae.
AGCUGGAUAGCUCAGUCAGUAGAGCAUGAGACCCUUAACCCCAGGGUGGUGGGUUUGAGCCCCAUGUUGGGUA